GACGAACGCUGGCGGCGUGCCUAAUACAUGCAAGUCGAACGCUUCUUUCCUCCCGAGGGCUUGCACUCAAUUGGAAAGAGGGGGGGCGGACGGGGGAGUAACACGUGGGUAACCUACCCCUCAGAGGGGGAUAACACUUGGAAACAGGUGCUAAUACCGCAUAACAGUUUAUGCCGCAUGGCAUAAGAGUGAAAGGCGCCUUCGGGGGUCGCUGAUGGAUGGACCCGCGGUGCAUUAGCUAGUUGGUGAGGUAACGGCUCACCAAGGCCACGAUGCAUAGCCGACCUGAGAGGGUGAUCGGCCACACUGGGACUGAGACACGGCCCAGACUCCUACGGGAGGCAGCAGUAGGGAAUCUUCGGCAAUGGACGAAAGUCUGACCGAGCAACGCCGCGUGAGUGAAGAAGGUUUUCGGAUCGUAAAACUCUGUUGUUAGAGAAGAACAAGGACGUUAGUAACUGAACGUCCCCUGACGGUAUCUAACCAGAAAGCCACGGCUAACUACGUG
RNAcentral lists this ribosomal RNA (508 nucleotides) under uncultured bacterium. Its description in RNAcentral is "partial 16S ribosomal RNA". It matches the Rfam family "Bacterial small subunit ribosomal RNA", at positions 28 to 507 of the family's 1533-position model. The record is from RNAcentral.